GGGCGCAUAGCUCAGGUGGUUAGAGCGCUACCCUGACACGGUAGAGGCCCCAGGUUCGACUCCUGGUGCGCCCA
This 74-nucleotide transfer RNA is filed under the name Candidatus Dormiibacterota bacterium. Its description in RNAcentral is "tRNA-Val". It matches the Rfam family "tRNA". Rfam says of the family: Transfer RNA (tRNA) molecules are approximately 80 nucleotides in length. Their secondary structure includes four short double-helical elements and three loops (D, anti-codon, and T loops). The record is from RNAcentral. RNAcentral also lists the same sequence under 4 other names. Lineage: Bacteria; Bacillati; Candidatus Dormiibacterota.